CUACAUACGUGUAAAGGAAAGGAUGAGAAUUAUAUUUUGCCAAGCGAAAGGUCAGAUUCUUUUAUAGUGGAGUUACAACGAAGUUCAUAUAGUGCUUUCACAAUGAAAUAACCAAUGCUUUUUAGGUUGCCGGAAAAGGCAAAGCGGGAACAAAAGACAUUGUCUACUCUAUGUUUGAAAUAGUUAUGACUGUUUCAAAUAAGGGACUAGGCUCGUCGAC
This 220-nucleotide long non-coding RNA is filed under the name Eucalyptus grandis. Its description in RNAcentral is "long non-coding RNA (EGRA_LNC006125)". The record is from RNAcentral. Lineage: Eukaryota; Viridiplantae; Streptophyta; Magnoliopsida; Myrtales; Myrtaceae.